UCCCUACUGGCUCAGAUGGUAAAGCAUCUGUCUGCAACGCAGGAGACCUGGGUUUGAUCCCUGGGUUGGGAA
Molecule: transfer RNA, 72 nt
Filed under: Bos taurus (domestic cattle)
Lineage: Eukaryota; Metazoa; Chordata; Mammalia; Artiodactyla; Bovidae
Also listed under: 1 other name
Rfam family: tRNA
About the family: Transfer RNA (tRNA) molecules are approximately 80 nucleotides in length.
Source: Rfam by way of RNAcentral